GGAAGUUUGGUGGUCAUUGUUAUUUUAUUUCCAACUCAACACAAACCUGGCAUGUCAGCAAACAGGACUGUGAAAACCGUGGUGCAACACUUGCAGUUGUAUCUAAUGAAGAGGAACAGAGAUUCAUCAGCUCAUUGAAGCAGCGUUUGUGGAUUGGUCUGAAUGAUCUUGAGAACGAAGGUGUCUGGAAAUGGGUAAAUGGAGAAAAUGUUGGCAGAACGUACUGGAAACAGGGACAGCCAGAUAAUUGUAAACGUUGUGGUGGAGAAGACUGUGG
Molecule: long non-coding RNA, 277 nt
Organism: Sphaeramia orbicularis (orbiculate cardinalfish)
Lineage: Eukaryota; Metazoa; Chordata; Actinopteri; Kurtiformes; Apogonidae
Exons: 3
Source: RefSeq, a predicted model, not a curated record